This 711-nucleotide ribosomal RNA is filed under the name Pseudomonas sp. RNAcentral describes it as "bacterial SSU rRNA". It matches the Rfam family "Bacterial small subunit ribosomal RNA", at positions 30 to 733 of the family's 1533-position model. Lineage: Bacteria; Pseudomonadati; Pseudomonadota; Gammaproteobacteria; Pseudomonadales; Pseudomonadaceae. The record is from RNAcentral.
UGAACGCUGGCGGCAGGCCUAACACAUGCAAGUCGAGCGGUAGAGAGAAGCUUGCUUCUCUUGAGAGCGGCGGACGGGUGAGUAAUGCCUAGGAAUCUGCCUGGUAGUGGGGGAUAACGUUCGGAAACGGACGCUAAUACCGCAUACGUCCUACGGGAGAAAGCAGGGGACCUUCGGGCCUUGCGCUAUCAGAUGAGCCUAGGUCGGAUUAGCUAGUUGGUGAGGUAAUGGCUCACCAAGGCGACGAUCCGUAACUGGUCUGAGAGGAUGAUCAGUCACACUGGAACUGAGACACGGUCCAGACUCCUACGGGAGGCAGCAGUGGGGAAUAUUGGACAAUGGGCGAAAGCCUGAUCCAGCCAUGCCGCGUGUGUGAAGAAGGUCUUCGGAUUGUAAAGCACUUUAAGUUGGGAGGAAGGGCAGUUACCUAAUACGUGAUUGUUUUGACGUUACCGACAGAAUAAGCACCGGCUAACUCUGUGCCAGCAGCCGCGGUAAUACAGAGGGUGCAAGCGUUAAUCGGAAUUACUGGGCGUAAAGCGCGCGUAGGUGGUUAGUUAAGUUGGAUGUGAAAUCCCCGGGCUCAACCUGGGAACUGCAUUCAAAACUGACUGACUAGAGUAUGGUAGAGGGUGGUGGAAUUUCCUGUGUAGCGGUGAAAUGCGUAGAUAUAGGAAGGAACACCCAGUGGCGAAGGCGACCCCCCCUGGA